GUAUUUUGAAUUAAGUAUUCAUAAUAGUUUUUCAGACAAAGUGGUUCAAGGUUAUAGGUUGGUGUAGGUGUUUCUCCAAAAAGAAACACAACAUUGCACACAAGGUGAGUACUAUUUUUAAAAAGUGCAGUAAAACACUUAUUAUGAAUGAUCCUUCCGCAGGUUCACCUACGGAAA
This 177-nucleotide unclassified non-coding RNA is filed under the name uncultured fungus. Its description in RNAcentral is "sequence contains ITS1, 5.8S rRNA gene". The record is from RNAcentral. Lineage: Eukaryota; Fungi.